Molecule: long non-coding RNA, 3207 nt
Filed under: Malus domestica (apple)
Lineage: Eukaryota; Viridiplantae; Streptophyta; Magnoliopsida; Rosales; Rosaceae
Description: long non-coding RNA (MDOM_LNC011801)
Source: RNAcentral
CAUUUCUCUGUAAGUAUCGUCUACGCAGAAAAAUUUGGUGGACAUUUGAAGAGACAAAUGGCAAAUGCCCUUCUUGGUAAGUUUUCUGUUGUGAUGUGCCCUAGGCCAGUUGGCCUCUUGCGUAGAAAUCAUGAAUGCAUGCAGGCCAAUUGUCAAUAAGUCAAGUGGCCGUGGCAUAGAUGUAGCACCACUUCCACCACCUCAGCCUCUCAGUCUUAGGCCACCCAAUCUUUCCAUUACCCUGCAAUGGAAGACACCAAACUCACACCAAAUUUCCAUUGUCAACAUCGGAAUAAUUAUAUCGAACCAAAUUUCCAACGUCAACGUUGGAAUAAUUAUAUCGGAUUAAGUUAACGCCACAUUCCUGAAAAAUGGGAACCUGUAAUUAUAAAUUUCAUCCAACACAUACAAAUAAAACGAGGCAUGUUUUUACUGCUAGAAGGUAAUUUGGUCGGACGAAUUCGUGGGACGGGAUAAUGGAGGAUGAUGAGUUGAGAUGGGAUGGGACUGGACUAUGUUUUGUGGGACUGGACUAUUAUAGUGAGGGUUACCCUGUAUGCCCUAACCCUAAAGAAGGAGCAGAGCUGGGGACACGUGCGAGGGGCGGGCAGGAGGCCGGCAUGAACCACAAGACACGCUUAUGUGCCCUGCGCGCGCACCAAAUAUUUUUGGAAGUUUUAACGAAAUAUUUCCGGUGCUGUUUAUUUUUAACGAAAAAUUAUAUUUUUACAUUUUCUUAGUACUAUUCACUGCACCUUUAUUUGUUUUUUUUCAUUAAAACUAAAGUUUUUUUUUGGACUUUUCGUUAGUUUUCCUAAUAUUUUUUUACUCAAAUAUAUUAUUUAAGCAAAAGAGAGAUUUGUCCCGAAUGUGUAGUGUAACAUCAGGUAUCAUUAUAUAAUCAGAGAAACAUUUAAAAAAAAAAUCUUUCAAUUGUAUGGUGACAUAUGUUGUUCCGCAUCGUGUCUUGGUACAUUGAAGAAUCUCUCCAAACAAAGAGCCAAAGGAGAAUGGUAUUUAUACUUGACACUAUUCGAUUCUAAUAUAUGAUAUACUUAAUUGAUAACUAACAUUUAUUUAUUUUUUGUUAUAAUAUGGUUUGCUUGCAAUUUGCCUAAUCAUGUGGGAUUGGGGUGUGGACGUGGGACGCUCAUAUCCACCGAAAACAUUGACAUACGAUUUAGAGAAAUAUGAAUAUAUGGAAUUUCGACGGCUUAAUUAAACUGAGUUCUUGUGUUGCAUAUAUAAUGUAUAAUUAAGAGCUCAUUUGGAUAUGUUUUUAAAAUGAUUGAAAUCACUUUUGGUGAAAAUAUUUUUGAAACCAAUCCUUAGUAAAAAUACAAGCAAAUUCUGGAAAAGCACUUAAAGUGCUUCCUGGAAGAAGUACAUAACUGGUGCUUCUUGUAGAAAGCACUUUAAGUGCUUUUGGAACAGAAGAAUAUUUUCUCUAUUUUAAAAGCGCAUCCAAACGAGUCAUAACUUAACUAAUUUGAUUAACGAAUACAUGCAUGGGACAUCACUCAUUAAUCGCGGAUUGCAAUGAAUCACAGUUAAUUGAUUCUGAAUCUCUAAUUACGUUCGUAUACGAUUAGUAUAAGAAUUACUCACCACUUAUAAACUUAAUUGACCAUUUAUGUAUUGAGGUGGGCAUUACAUAAUGAAGAUCAUGGCAACGUUGUGGAGUUAGUUUAGUGGCUUGUGCCGUGAAACCAACCCAAACAACAUCAGAAAUUGCGAUUUGACAGUGAUACUGUUUCAGUUGAAUAUUAUUGCAUAUACAAAAUGCCAACUAUUUGUAGACAUGCAACAUGAAACAAAGAUAAAUAAAUGACAAACCAGUUAGUUCAUUGUUCAAUGUUAAAAAAAAAAAAAAUGAAACAAGAUAACGAUCAUACAACUGUGCACUAUAUCUAAUGAGAAAUGUUAAAGAGACUCUCUUUUGAUAUACAAUGACAUAUGUAUUCAACGUAUUUUCAUAUUAGUUAAUGCCACUAAAUAUUAAUUAAGAUUCACAAACAUUGAUGAAAGUUGAGUGAAACUUGGAGAUUUUGCCUCAUGGCCUACCCCAAGAGCGAGUAUGUUUUUGCUCACCCCCUAGCUCAAGGUAAUUGUCAUCCUUCCCAUCCAGAAUCACGUUGGCAAGUGAGAGGUCUUAUAUUUGAUUCUUACCAAAGACGAAUUUAAACUACAUUAUUGCUAGCCUAUUGUGAGGCUAAGCCCACCCCCUCCCCAUAGUUUAGAUAAUAUUGAUUGUUCAAAAAAAGAAUCAUGUUAUGUGUCUAAGAAUUGAGAUCAUCUCCAAAUUUCUAUGUCUGCAGUCGAUGGACCUGGGAAUCCAGGCUGUUCAAGAGAGAAAGAGAUCUAGGCCGUUCAAAAGCUAGGUUUGUGUGAGGUGUGCUAGUGAAAUGAGCUAAUGUGGUCGUAUAAUUUAAAUUGAGUGGUCCGGAUUUUAGGAUCUAUCGGCUUUGGACUAAGAGAUUCGGGGAUGAUCUCAAUUCCAUAUCUAAACACCAACCAUAGUAAGCCUUUCUAUUUAAUUUAAAACUUAUGAGAAACAAUAAUAAUUGAAUUAAUUAAGCAAAAGAGCUUACCAUUUUCACUUCUUUAUUAAUCAUCAUUAAUUCAUAACUGAUUGCAAUCAUUAUUUUCCCUUUCUCCUCUUCAAAUCAUUAUUUCCCCUUCCCUUCUUCAAUCUUCCCAUAAUUUGUCGCCCCCCUUUCUUUGAAGGAGCAUUAGGACCAUAAGGGUUUAGAGUGUUAAGAGGCUUGUCUGUGGCGGCCCGUCGGUUGGGUUGGGGACGGUAAGUUUUAAGAAACGAAUACUGGUGGGUUGGUAAUUGUCGUUGCAAUCAAUUACGAAUUGAAUCAAUUUUUUGAAUCGAUGGGGUAUAGAUGAAGAAAUAAAUGUAUAGAUGAAGAAAUAAAUGUUAAGUUUUAUGUUAAUUCACUCAAAGUUAGUGAUUGAUUUCGUCAAGGGCUCUUGUAAUAUUCUAUGGCGAUUAAAAAUAUCACUGAAGACAGACAUCAAAUGGUUGGCGGCUUUUUUUGGAUACAAUUUCUUGGACUCACGUUUUCAUAGAGGCAAUUUUUUUUUGCAAAUGGGAUUACUAAUACUGGGUUCUAUUUCAGUAAUUUUCAUGCAAUGGAUGGAUCACUACUUUCCACGGCCAAAAAUACCUAUUUAUUUGAGGGUAAUGUUAAAGAGAUU